GAUGAACGCUGGCGGCGUGCCUAAUACAUGCAAGUCGAGCGAACAGACGAGGAGCUUGCUCCUCUGACGUUAGCGGCGGACGGGUGAGUAACACGUGGAUAACCUACCUAUAAGACUGGGAUAACUUAGGGAAACCGGAGCUAAUACCGGAUAAUAUAUUGAACCGCAUGGUUCAAUAGUGAAAGACGGUUUUGCUGUCACGUAUAGAUGGAUCCGCGCCGCAUUAGCUAGUUGGUAAGGUAACGGCUUACCAAGGCAACGAUGCGUAGCCGACCUGAGAGGGUGAUCGGCCACACUGGAACUGAGACACGGUCCAGACUCCUACGGGAGGCAGCAGUAGGGAAUCUUCCGCAAUGGGCGAAAGCCUGACGGAGCAACGCCGCGUGAGUGAUGAAGGUCUUCGGGUCGUAAAACUCUGUUAUUAGGGAAGAACAAAUGUGUAAGUAACUAUGCACGUCUUGACGGUACCGAAUCAGAAAGCCACGGCUAACUACGUG
This 497-nucleotide ribosomal RNA is filed under the name uncultured bacterium. Its description in RNAcentral is "partial 16S ribosomal RNA". It matches the Rfam family "Bacterial small subunit ribosomal RNA", at positions 28 to 507 of the family's 1533-position model. The record is from RNAcentral.